GUUUGAUCAUGGCUCAGGACGAACGCUGGCGGCGUGCUAAGACAUGCAAGUCGAACGGAGGCUUCGGCCUCAGUGGCGAACGGCGGAGUAAGACAUAAGCAACGUGCCCCGAAGUCUGGGAUAUACGGUCGAAAGACCGGGCAAUACCGGAUGUGGCCCUCUCCAGGCAUCUGGAAAGGAUUAAAUGGUUUUUCGCUUCAGGAGCGGCUUAUGGCCUAUCAGCUUGUUGGUGAGGUAAUGGCUCACCAAGGCGACGACGGGUAGGGGGUCUGAGAGGAUGAUCCCCCCGAGUGGGACUGAGACACGGCCCACACACCUACGGGUGGCAGCAGUUGGGAAUCUUGCACAAUGGGGGAAACCCUGAUGCAGCGACGCCGCGUGGAGGAUGAAGGAUUUAGGUCUGUAAACUCCUUUUGCCGGGAAAGACUUAGGACGGUACCCGGCGAAUAAGCUCCGGCUAACUACGUGCCAGCAGCCGCGGUAAGACGUAGGGAGCAAGCGUUGUCCGGAUUUACUGGGCGUAAAGGGCGCGUAGGCGGUCUGUUAAGUGUGAAGUGAAAUCUCCAGGGCUCAACCCGGAAACUGCUUCGCAUACUGGCAGACUGGAGGAAGGAAGAGGUGAAUAGAAUUCCCGGUGUAACGGUGACAUGUGUUGAUAUCGGGAGGAAUACCAAUGGCGAAGGCAGUUCACUGGUCCUUUCCUGACGCUGAGGCGCGAAAGCGUGGGUAGCAAACAGGAUUAGAUACCCUGGUAGUCCACGCCCUAAACGAUGGACACUAGGCGUUAGAGGUAUCGACCCCUCUAGUGCCGUAGCAAACGCAUUAAGUGUCCCGCCUGGGGAGUACGGCCGCAAGGUUGAAACUCAAAUGAAUUGACGG
Molecule: ribosomal RNA, 879 nt
Filed under: uncultured bacterium
Lineage: Bacteria
Description: bacterial SSU rRNA
Rfam family: Bacterial small subunit ribosomal RNA
Source: RNAcentral